GUCGAGCUGUCCGUACUCGUCGACUAUAACCGACGCCAAGUAGAGGUACGAGCUGUGACGG
RNAcentral lists this microRNA precursor (61 nucleotides) under Caenorhabditis elegans. Its description in RNAcentral is "microRNA cel-mir-8195 precursor". Lineage: Eukaryota; Metazoa; Nematoda; Chromadorea; Rhabditida; Rhabditidae. The record is from miRBase by way of RNAcentral.